UACGGAGGGUGCAAGCGUUGCUCGGAAUCAUUGGGCGUAAAGCGUACGCAGGCUGUUCGUCAAGUCGGGUGUGAAAGCCCGGGGCUCAACCCCGGAACGGCGCCCGAAACUGGCGAGCUUGAGUGCGGGAGAGGGAAGCGGAAUUCCUGGUGUAGAGGUGAAAUUCGUAGAUAUCAGGAGGAACACCGGUGGCGAAAGCGGCUUCCUGGCCCGACACUGACGCUCAUGUACGAAAGCGUGGGGAGCAAACAGG
RNAcentral lists this ribosomal RNA (253 nucleotides) under uncultured bacterium. RNAcentral's name for it is "partial 16S ribosomal RNA". It matches the Rfam family "Bacterial small subunit ribosomal RNA", at positions 524 to 776 of the family's 1533-position model. The record is from RNAcentral.